GGCUCAGAUUGAACGCUGGCGGCAUGCCUUACACAUGCAAGUCGAACGGUAACAGGUCUUCGGAUGCUGACGAGUGGCGAACGGGUGAGUAAUACAUCGGAACGUGCCUAGUAGUGGGGGAUAACUACUCGAAAGAGUAGCUAAUACCGCAUGAGAUCUACGGAUGAAAGCAGGGGAUCGCAAGACCUUGUGCUACUAGAGCGGCUGAUGGCAGAUUAGGUAGUUGGUGGGAUAAAAGCUUACCAAGCCGACGAUCUGUAGCUGGUCUGAGAGGACGAUCAGCCACACUGGGACUGUGACACGGCCCAGACUCCUACGGGAGGCAGCAGUGGGGAAUUUUGGACAAUGGGCGAAAGCCUGAUCCAGCAAUGCCGCGUGCAGGAUGAAGGCCUUCGGGUUGUAAACUGCUUUUGUACGGAACGAAAAGCUUUGGGUUAAUACCCUGGAGUCAUGACGGUACCGUAAGAAUAAGCACCGGCUAACUACGUGCCAGCAGCAGC
This 500-nucleotide ribosomal RNA is filed under the name uncultured bacterium. RNAcentral's name for it is "bacterial SSU rRNA". It matches the Rfam family "Bacterial small subunit ribosomal RNA", at positions 21 to 518 of the family's 1533-position model. The record is from RNAcentral.